CUUCUUAAUGGCUGAUAAAGAAACUACAGUUGAUUUUGAGUGAUUUCGGUUGUAUUGUCAUACACACAGAAGUUUUAGGGAAAUAUUGACAUCCAUGUAUGAUGAGCUGCUGUCCUCCGUGCUCCCUCCGCCUAUCUGCUUGAGGAUGACUCCACCGUUCUCAAGAUGUGGGAUGUAGAACAAUCUGAUGAACCAGACGCUGAUGAUUUAUCACUUCGUUUCCUCUCCGUUAGUGACAAUUCAACAGUUGCCACGUUCUUCUGCUCAGAGAAGACUGAAUUUGUACUUUGGGUAACAUAGUUAACGAUUUCCCCACAUUGGCUCAUGCAUUUGUCAUGCUUUUUGGACUAACGUACGCCUUGGAUCUAAGUUCCCUAAAAGAGUUGGACAAUACAUUUGACUUUACCCACAAAUUCGUGAUGGGUCUGGAGGAUGGGAAGCUGAGACCCAGAAUGUUGAGUCUUAAAAAUUAACUUUUGUCAGUAGAGUUUCCUCAGUGUU
This is a long non-coding RNA of Sinocyclocheilus rhinocerous, 501 nucleotides long. RefSeq lists it as uncharacterized. Lineage: Eukaryota; Metazoa; Chordata; Actinopteri; Cypriniformes; Cyprinidae. The record is from RefSeq and is a predicted model, not a curated record. The transcript has 3 exons.